Orcinus orca (killer whale) is the source of this 981-nucleotide long non-coding RNA. RefSeq lists it as uncharacterized. Lineage: Eukaryota; Metazoa; Chordata; Mammalia; Artiodactyla; Delphinidae. The record is from RefSeq and is a predicted model, not a curated record. The transcript is spliced from 2 exons.
CACAUCUACAGCAAAAGAAAAUAAAUACAAGAUUAUGGCAAGUCUAUUUCAACGAUACCUAAGAAAACCAUACACUUAACUCAGUGAUUCAUAUUUUGAGAGUACACACAGCUCUCAAAACUGACUGAAAAACUGAUGAUACACACAUUAAAAUAUUGAAUAAAUGUGUGGCUUGGCCCAAAAGGUUUGGACGAAGCCCCAAAUUUAAAUCCCAGCUCCAUAAUAGCCAAUAUUAUUUAAUAAGCUAGCCAUUUAAUUUCCUUGUGAAUGUUUCUUGGUCAGCCAAAUUGAAAAAUUAAUAAUAUUUCUUCUAUCUCUCAAUCUCAUAGAUGUAUUAUUAAGAUUUCACUGAAGACGGGAAAACCUAAAAGUGUGACUGCAGGUUUAAGAAAAUGAAAUACUAUUCUGCAUGUAAAUGCAGAAAUUUUCACCUGUCUUUGAUGAGUUUUGGUUCGCCGAUGAAGAUGAAGGAAUCUGUCACAGUCAGUACAUAAGUUUCCACAUACGUUGCACAAAAUGAUUGCUGCAGUUUCACCGUCAUCAUGGUUAUCACACAUAGGCUAGAACAGGACAUUUCCAUACGUUACAAAAGGUUAACAAGAAAGUCUUAAAUACUCAUACAAAUUGAAUGUGAUUUAUUUACAGCAGGAACAGACUGUUACUCUCAACUCAAAUAAGAAUUUAAAAUCUGGACAUUAAACAGAAUUAUGGCAAGUGUACUUAACUAUAAAAGCCCUCGGGCUUCCCUGGUGGUGGCGCAGUGGUUAAGAGCCCGCCUGCCAAUGCAGUGGACACGGGUUCGAGCCCUGGUCCGGGGAGAUCCCGCAUGCCGCAGAGCAACUAAGCCCGUGUGCCACACAACUACUGAAGCCCGCACACCUAGAGCCCGUGCUCCGCAACAAGAGAAGCCACUGCAGUGAGAAGCCUGCGCACCGCAACGAAGACCCAACGCAGCCAAAAAUAAAUAAAAUAAAAUAAAUU